UACAGAGGGGGCGAGCGUUAUUCGGAAUUAUUGGGCGUAAAGGGCGCGUAGGCGGUCUUUCAAGUGACGGGUGAAAUCCCUCGGCUUAACCGAGGAACUGCCUGUCAGACUGGAAGGCUUGAGACCGGGAGAGGUGAGUGGAAUUCCCAGUGUAGCGGUGAAAUGCGUAGAUAUUGGGAGGAACACCAGUGGCGAAGGCGGCUCACUGGACCGGUACUGACGCUGAGGCGCGAAAGCGUGGGGAGCAAACAGG
This 253-nucleotide ribosomal RNA is filed under the name uncultured bacterium. RNAcentral's name for it is "partial 16S ribosomal RNA". It matches the Rfam family "Bacterial small subunit ribosomal RNA", at positions 524 to 776 of the family's 1533-position model. The record is from RNAcentral.